This 251-nucleotide ribosomal RNA is filed under the name uncultured bacterium. RNAcentral's name for it is "partial 16S ribosomal RNA". It matches the Rfam family "Bacterial small subunit ribosomal RNA", at positions 524 to 776 of the family's 1533-position model. The record is from RNAcentral.
UACGUAGGUGGCAAGCGUUUUCCGGAAUUAUUGGGCGUAAAGCGCGCGCAGGCGGUUAUGUAAGUCUGAUGUUAAAGCCCGGGCUCAACCUCGGUUCGCAUUGGAAACUGCGUAACUUGAGUGCAGAAGAGGAAAGUGGUAUUCCACGUGUAGCGGUGAAAUGCGUAGAUAUGUGGAGGAACACCAGUGGCGAAGGCGUCUUUCUGGUCUGUAACUGACGCUGAGGCGCGAAAGCGUGGGGAGCAAACAGG